AAAUUUGAAGCAAAAUAUUGCAUAUUAGUUUCGACCUAAUAAAUAGAUAUAUAUAUUAUCCUUAUUUA
RNAcentral lists this transfer RNA (68 nucleotides) under Allacta transversa. RNAcentral describes it as "tRNA-Arg". The record is from RNAcentral. Lineage: Eukaryota; Metazoa; Arthropoda; Insecta; Blattodea; Pseudophyllodromiidae.